GGUUAAGUGACUAAGCGUACACGGUGGAUGCCUGGGCAGUCAGAGGCGAUGAAGGACGUACUAACUUGCGAUAAGCGCAGAUAAGGCAGUAAGAGCCGUUUGAGUCUGCGAUUUCCGAAUGGGGAAACCCAACUGCAUAAGCAGUUACUGUUAACUGAAUACAUAGGUUAACAGAGCAAACCGGGGGAACUGAAACAUCUAAGUACCCCGAGGAGAAGAAAUCAACCGAGAUUCCGGUAGUAGCGGCGAGCGAACCUGGAUUAGCCCUUAAGCACUCGGUGAAGUAGGUGAACAAGCUGGAAAGCUUGGCGAUACAGGGUGAUAGCCCCGUAACCGACGCUUCAUCGAGCGUGAAAUCGAGUAGGGCGGGACACGUGAUAUCCUGUCUGAAUAUGGGGGGACCAUCCUCCAAGGCUAAAUACUCCUGACUGACCGAUAGUGAACCAGUACCGUGAGGGAAAGGCGAAAAGAACCCCUGUGAGGGGAGUGAAAUAGAACCUGAAACCGUGUACGUACAAGCAGUAGGAGCACCUUCGUGGUGUGACUGCGUACCUUUUGUAUAAUGGGUCAGCGACUUAUAUUCAGUGGCAAGGUUAACCGUAUAGGGGAGCCGUAGCGAAAGCGAGUCUUAACUGGGCGCUCAGUCUCUGGAUAUAGACCCGAAACCGGGUGAUCUAGCCAUGGGCAGGUUGAAGGUUGAGUAACAUCAACUGGAGGACCGAACCGACUAAUGUUGAAAAAUUAGCGGAUGACUUGUGGCUAGGGGUGAAAGGCCAAUCAAACUCGGAGAUAGCUGGUUCUCCCCGAAAGCUAUUUAGGUAGCGCCUCGGACGAAUACUACUGGGGGUAGAGCACUGUUAAGGCUAGGGGGUCAUCCCGACUUACCAACCCUUUGCAAACUCCGAAUACCAGUAAGUACUAUCCGGGAGACACACGGCGGGUGCUAACGUCCGUCGUGGAGAGGGAAACAACCCAGACCGCCAGCUAAGGUCCCAAAGUAUUGCUAAGUGGGAAACGAUGUGGGAAGGCUCAGACAGCUAGGAUGUUGGCUUAGAAGCAGCCAUCAUUUAAAGAAAGCGUAAUAGCUCACUAGUCGAGUCGGCCUGCGCGGAAGAUGUAACGGGGCUAAGCAAUACACCGAAGCUGCGGCAAUGUCUUUUAGAUAUUGGGUAGGGGAGCGUUCUGUAAGCCGUUGAAGGUGAAUCGUAAGGUUUGCUGGAGGUAUCAGAAGUGCGAAUGCUGACAUGAGUAACGACAAAGGGGGUGAAAAACCUCCUCGCCGGAAGACCAAGGGUUCCUGUCCAACGUUAAUCGGGGCAGGGUGAGUCGACCCCUAAGGUGAGGCCGAAAGGCGUAAUCGAUGGGAAACGGGUUAAUAUUCCCGUACUUCUGACUAUUGCGAUGGGGGGACGGAGAAGGCUAGGUGGGCCAGGCGACGGUUGUCCUGGUUCAAGUGCGUAGGCUUGAGAGUUAGGUAAAUCCGGCUCUCUCUAAGGCUGAGACACGACGUCGAGCUGCUACGGCAGUGAAGUCAUUGAUGCCAUGCUUCCAGGAAAAGCCUCUAAGCUUCAGAUAGUCAGGAAUCGUACCCCAAACCGACACAGGUGGUCGGGUAGAGAAUACCAAGGCGCUUGAGAGAACUCGGGUGAAGGAACUAGGCAAAAUGGUACCGUAACUUCGGGAGAAGGUACGCUCUUGAUGGUGAAGUCCCUCGCGGAUGGAGCUGACGAGAGUCGCAGAUACCAGGUGGCUGCAACUGUUUAUUAAAAACACAGCACUGUGCAAAAUCGCAAGAUGACGUAUACGGUGUGACGCCUGCCCGGUGCCGGAAGGUUAAUUGAUGGGGUUAGCGCAAGCGAAGCUCUUGAUCGAAGCCCCGGUAAACGGCGGCCGUAACUAUAACGGUCCUAAGGUAGCGAAAUUCCUUGUCGGGUAAGUUCCGACCUGCACGAAUGGCGUAAUGAUGGCCACGCUGUCUCCACCCGAGACUCAGUGAAAUUGAAAUCGCUGUGAAGAUGCAGUGUACCCGCGGCUAGACGGAAAGACCCCGUGAACCUUUACUACAGCUUGGCACUGAACAUUGAACCUACAUGUGUAGGAUAGGUGGGAGGCUAUGAAGACGUGACGCCAGUUGCGUUGGAGCCGUCCUUGAAAUACCACCCUUGUAUGU
This 2170-nucleotide ribosomal RNA is filed under the name Vibrio cholerae. RNAcentral's name for it is "partial 23S ribosomal RNA". It matches the Rfam family "Bacterial large subunit ribosomal RNA", at positions 1 to 2213 of the family's 2925-position model. The record is from RNAcentral. Lineage: Bacteria; Pseudomonadati; Pseudomonadota; Gammaproteobacteria; Vibrionales; Vibrionaceae.